Molecule: ribosomal RNA, 486 nt
Filed under: uncultured bacterium
Lineage: Bacteria
Description: bacterial SSU rRNA
Rfam family: Bacterial small subunit ribosomal RNA
Source: RNAcentral
GAGAAACGCUGGCGGCGCACAUAAGACAUGCAAGUCGAACGGAACUUAGUUGAAUGUUUACAUGAGACGAAAGUUUAGUGGCGGACGGGUGAGUAACACGUGAGCAACCUGCCUUUAAGAGGGGGAUAACAUUGAGAAAUCAGUGCUAAUACCGCAUAAAGCAUAUUUACCGCAUGAUAGAUAUGCCAAAGGAGCAAUCCGCUUAAAGAUGGGCUCGCGGCUGAUUAGCUAGUUGGUGAGGUAACGGCUCACCAAGUCGACGAUCAGUAGCCGGACUGAGAGGUUGAACGGCCACAUUGGGACUGAGACACGGCCCAGACUCCUACGGGAGGCAGCAGUGGGGGAUAUUGCACAAUGGGCGAAAGCCUGAUGCAGCAACGCCGCGUGAGGGAAGACGGUUUUCGGAUUGUAAAACCUCUGUCUUUGGUGAAGAAGAAAGUGACGGUAGCCAAGGAGAAGCCACGGCUAACUACGUGCCAGCAGCCG